GAUGAACGCUGGCGGCGUGCCUAAUACAUGCAAGUCGAGCGAAUGGAUUAAGAGCUUGCUCUUAUGAAGUUAGCGGCGGACGGGUGAGUAACACGUGGGUAACCUGCCCAUAAGACUGGGAUAACUCCGGGAAACAGGGGCUAAUACCGGAUAACAUUUUGAACCGCAUGGUUCGAAAUCGAAAGGCGGCUUCGGCUGUCACUUAUGGAUGGACCCGGGUCGCAUUAGCUAGUUGGUGAGGUAACGGCUCACCAAGGCAAAGAUGCGUAGCCGACCUGAGAGGGUGAUCGGCCACACUGGGACUGAGACACGGCCCAGACUCCUACGGGAGGCAGCAGUAGGGAAUCUUCCGCAAUGGACGAAAGUCUGACGGAGCAACGCCGCGUGAGUGAUGAAGGCUUUCGGGUCGUAAAACUCUGUUGUUAGGGAAGAACAAGUGCUAGUUGAAUAAGCUGGCACCUUGACGGUACCUAACCAGAAAGCCACGGCUAACUACGUGCCAGCAGCCGCGGUAA
RNAcentral lists this ribosomal RNA (515 nucleotides) under uncultured bacterium. Its description in RNAcentral is "partial 16S ribosomal RNA". It matches the Rfam family "Bacterial small subunit ribosomal RNA", at positions 28 to 523 of the family's 1533-position model. The record is from RNAcentral.